Molecule: ribosomal RNA, 194 nt
Filed under: uncultured bacterium
Lineage: Bacteria
Description: partial 16S ribosomal RNA
Rfam family: Bacterial small subunit ribosomal RNA
Source: RNAcentral
CCUACGGGAGGCAGCAGUGGGGAAUAUUGCGCAAUGGGCGAAAGCCUGACGCAGCCAUACCGCGUGUGUGAAGAAGGCCUGCGGGUUGUAAAGCACUUUCAGUAGAGAAGAAAAGCCUGAGGUUAAUACCCUCAAGUCUUGACGUAACCUACAGAAGAAGCAUCGGCUAACUCCGUGCCAGCAGCCGCGGUAAU